Molecule: ribosomal RNA, 492 nt
Filed under: uncultured bacterium
Lineage: Bacteria
Description: partial 16S ribosomal RNA
Rfam family: Bacterial small subunit ribosomal RNA
Source: RNAcentral
AGUGAACGCUGGCGGUAGGCCUAACACAUGCAAGUCGAACGGCAGCACAGUAAGAGCUUGCUCUUACGGGUGGCGAGUGGCGGACGGGUGAGGAAUACAUCGGAAUCUACUUUUUCGUGGGGGAUAACGUAGGGAAACUUACGCUAAUACCGCAUACGACCUACGGGUGAAAGCAGGGGAUCUUCGGACCUUGCGCGAUUGAAUGAGCCGAUGUCGGAUUAGCUAGUUGGCGGGGUAAAGGCCCACCAAGGCGACGAUCCGUAGCUGGUCUGAGAGGAUGAUCCGCCACACUGGAACUGAGACACGGUCCAGACUCCUACGGGAGGCAGCAGUGGGGAAUAUUGGACAAUGGGCGCAAGCCUGAUCCAGCAAUACCGCGUGGGUGAAGAAGGCCUUCGGGUUGUAAAGCCCUUUUGUUGGGAAAGAAAAGCAGCAGGUUAAUACCCCGCUGUUCUGACGGUACCCAAAGAAUAAGCACCGGCUAACUUCGUG